Molecule: unclassified non-coding RNA, 271 nt
Filed under: Hevea brasiliensis (rubber tree)
Lineage: Eukaryota; Viridiplantae; Streptophyta; Magnoliopsida; Malpighiales; Euphorbiaceae
Source: RNAcentral
GCAAGCUUGUGUGAGGGGUACACGGGUUCCGAUAUUCUUGAACUGUGCAAGAAAGCCGCUUAUUUUCCAAUUAGGGAUCUCCUUGAUGAAGAGAAGAAGGGGAAACAAUCAUCCGAGCCAAGACCACUGUCGCAGUCAGACUUGGAAAAGGUUCUUGCUACAUCCACAAAGACAAAGGUUGCUGCAAGCGAAUACACUGGAUUGAGCUCUAACUCAUCAGGGUGGACAGGGCACAGGGAAGCUGGUGAUUAUGAGGUUCAAGCAGCAAUAA